RNAcentral lists this unclassified non-coding RNA (312 nucleotides) under plant metagenome. Its description in RNAcentral is "partial contains 5.8S ribosomal RNA, internal transcribed spacer 2, and large subunit ribosomal RNA". The stretch from base 1 to 105 matches the Rfam family "5.8S ribosomal RNA", at positions 50 to 154 of the family's 154-position model. The record is from RNAcentral.
GAAAUGCGAUAAGUAAUGUGAAUUGCAGAAUUCCGUGAAUCAUCGAAUCUUUGAACGCACAUUGCGCCCUCUGGCAUUCCGGGGGGCAUGCCUGUCCGAGCGUCAUUACGCACCCUCAAGCCCGGCUUGUGUGAUGGGCCCUGGCGUCUCGUUCGCGAGACGGGCCCGAAAGGCAGCGGCGGCGUCGACCCGAUGAGCCCGAGCGCAUGGGGACUUUUGUCACACGUUUGCGGUGCGGACCGGCGCCUGCUUGACUUUUCUGAUUAUCCAGGUUGACCUCGGAUCAGGUAGGGAUACCCGCUGAACUUAAGC